GACGAACGCUGGCGGCGUGCUUAACACAUGCAAGUCGAACGAAGUGGCGAACGGGUGAGUAACGCGUAAUCAACCUGCCCUUCAGAGGGGGACAACAGUUGGAAACGACUGCUAAUACCGCAUACUGAAGGAGGGGAUUGCGUCUGAUUGGCUAGUUGGAGGGGUAACGGCCCACCAAGGCGAUGAUCAGUAGCCGGGCUGAGAGGAUGAACGGGCACAUUGGGAAUGGGACACGGGCCAGACUCCUUCGGGAGGCAGCAGUGGGGAAUCUUCCGAAAUGGACGAAAGUCUGACGGAGCAACGCCGCGUGAGUGAGGACGGCCUUCGGGUUGUAAAGCUCUGUUAAUCGGGACGCGGUACCGGAAUAGAAAGCCACGGCUAACUACGUGCCAGCAGCCGCGGUAAUAC
RNAcentral lists this ribosomal RNA (408 nucleotides) under uncultured bacterium. RNAcentral describes it as "partial 16S ribosomal RNA". It matches the Rfam family "Bacterial small subunit ribosomal RNA", at positions 28 to 526 of the family's 1533-position model. The record is from RNAcentral.